Molecule: long non-coding RNA, 315 nt
Organism: Rhododendron vialii
Lineage: Eukaryota; Viridiplantae; Streptophyta; Magnoliopsida; Ericales; Ericaceae
Exons: 2
Source: RefSeq, a predicted model, not a curated record
AAGUCCCAAUUGGCAAUUGCUUAAGAGCCAGCCCCUUAAACUGUUAGAUUUUGUGAGACCUCUAAAAUGAAGACAAGCUUCCUUGCCCCUAUAUUAUAAUGCUGGUGAAGCACAAACAUACAUCAUGAUUCUUAAACUAUGAAGACCGGAAACACCAAUUUCUUUUUAUUUGUGAUUCAUCUAAAUCCUCAACUGCAGAUUUAUUCUUCACAAUGCAUCAACUGCAUAUCAUUAUGAAGUCCUUUAGCACCAUCAAAUGCUGCUAUGUGGUAAUAUUUGCACCCACGACAUUCAUGGAGACAUAACCUGGUUCUU